AAAAACAUAUUUUCGACCACUUUCGUAGAGCAAUAAAUAAUAUACUCUUUUUUCCUUCUCAAAUUGUGUGGCGUAAUUUUUAAAAAUAUCUAUCUUAAAUUAUUUAUCAAUUUGUAUUCUUAAAAAAAGAGCAACUCGUAUGCAACUUUACCUUAUAUUUCUACCACUAUAGUGCCCCUUAUAUACAGGAUUCGAAAAAGGGCUCCACCACUAUAGUGCCAGUAAUGUAUAGGCC
RNAcentral lists this long non-coding RNA (235 nucleotides) under Capsicum annuum. Its description in RNAcentral is "long non-coding RNA (CANN_LNC006138)". Lineage: Eukaryota; Viridiplantae; Streptophyta; Magnoliopsida; Solanales; Solanaceae. The record is from RNAcentral.